GUGAUGUCUUCUGCCAUCUUGUGAUGCAGCAAGAAGGCCCUCACCAGAUGUCUCAGUGCCAUGCUCUUAGACUUCCCAUCCUCCAGAACUGGCCUUGCAUGAUGUACAUGCUCAGAAAUGUUGAUAAAUGAAUGAACAGAUGAAUGAACAAAUAUCACAUCGAUGAUAUGACACUGCAAUACUACUGACAUUGACAACACUAGGCAUUACAGUAAAAGCAUUCAAUGUUA
Cercocebus atys (sooty mangabey) is the source of this 230-nucleotide long non-coding RNA. RefSeq lists it as uncharacterized. The transcript has 2 exons. Lineage: Eukaryota; Metazoa; Chordata; Mammalia; Primates; Cercopithecidae. The record is from RefSeq and is a predicted model, not a curated record.